AGUGAACGCUGGCGGUAGGCCUAACACAUGCAAGUCGAACGGCAGCACAGGAGAGCUUGCUCUCUGGGUGGCGAGUGGCGGACGGGUGAGGAAUACAUCGGAGUCUACUCUGUCGUGGGGGAUAACGUAGGGAAACUUACGCUAAUACCGCAUACGACCUACGGGUGAAAGCAGGGGAUCUUCGGACCUUGCGCGAUUGAAUGAGCCGAUGUCGGAUUAGCUAGUUGGCGGGGUAAAGGCCCACCAAGGCGACGAUCCGUAGCUGGUCUGAGAGGAUGAUCAGCCACACUGGAACUGAGACACGGUCCAGACUCCUACGGGAGGCAGCAGUGGGGAAUAUUGGACAAUGGGCGCAAGCCUGAUCCAGCCAUACCGCGUGGGUGAAGAAGGCCUUCGGGUUGUAAAGCCCUUUUGUUGGGAAAGAAAUCCAGCUGGUUAAUACCCGGUUGGGAUGACGGUACCCAAAGAAUAAGCACCGGCUAACUUCGUGCCAGCAGCCGCGGUAAUACGAAGGGUGCAAGCGUUACUCGGAAUUACUGGGCGUAAAGCGUGCGUAGGUGGUUAUUUAAGUCCGUUGUGAAAGCCCUGGGCUCAACCUGGGAACUGCAGUGGAUACUGGAUGACUAGAAUGUGGUAGAGGGUAGCGGAAUUCCUGGUGUAGCAGUGAAAUGCGUAGAGAUCAGGAGGAACAUCCAUGGCGAAGGCAGCUACCUGGACCAACAUUGACACUGAGGCACGAAAGCGUGGGGAGCAAACAGG
RNAcentral lists this ribosomal RNA (759 nucleotides) under uncultured Stenotrophomonas sp. RNAcentral's name for it is "bacterial SSU rRNA". It matches the Rfam family "Bacterial small subunit ribosomal RNA", at positions 28 to 776 of the family's 1533-position model. Lineage: Bacteria; Pseudomonadati; Pseudomonadota; Gammaproteobacteria; Lysobacterales; Lysobacteraceae. The record is from RNAcentral.